CCUUCGAUAGCUCAGUUGGUAGAGCAGGGGACUGUAGCGCUUAUAUCAGGCAUCCUUAGGUCGCUGGUUCGAAUCCGGCUCGAAGGA
This 87-nucleotide transfer RNA is filed under the name Lepisosteus oculatus (spotted gar). It matches the Rfam family "tRNA". Rfam says of the family: Transfer RNA (tRNA) molecules are approximately 80 nucleotides in length. Their secondary structure includes four short double-helical elements and three loops (D, anti-codon, and T loops). Lineage: Eukaryota; Metazoa; Chordata; Actinopteri; Semionotiformes; Lepisosteidae. The record is from Rfam by way of RNAcentral.